AAUACGGAGGAAAAGAAACUAACUAGGAUUCCCUUAGUAACGGCGAGUGAACCGGGAUGAGCUCAAAUUUGAAAUCUGGCGUCUUUCAGGCGUCCGAGUUGUAAUCUAUAGAGGCGUUUUCCGCGCCGGACCGCGUCCAAGUCUCUUGGAAUAGAGUAUCAAAGAGGGUGACAAUCCCGUACUUGACGCGACAACCGGUGCUCUGUGAUACGUUCUCAAUGAGUCGAGUUGUUUGGGAAUGCAGCUCUAAAUGGGUGGUAAAUUCCAUCUAAGGCUAAAUAUUGGCGAGAGACCGAUAGCGAACAAGUACCGUGAGGGAAAGAUGAAAAGCACUUUGGAAAGAGAGUUAAACAGCACGUGAAAUUGUUAAAAGGGAAACGAUUGAAGUCAGUCGUGUGGGAAGUAUUCAGCCGUCUCUGGCGGUGUAUUUGCUUCUCACGGGUCAACAUCAGUUUGAUCCGGUAGAAAAAGGCGGGAAGAAGGUGGCACCCUCGGGUGUGUUAUAGCUUCCUGUCAUAUGUGCCGGACCAGACUGAGGAACGCAGCUUGCAGCAAUGCCGGGGUUCGCCCACGUACAAGCUUAGGAUGUUGACAUAAUGGCUUUAAACGACCCGUCUUAA
RNAcentral lists this ribosomal RNA (620 nucleotides) under Vishniacozyma carnescens. Its description in RNAcentral is "eukaryotic LSU rRNA". It matches the Rfam family "Eukaryotic large subunit ribosomal RNA", at positions 45 to 657 of the family's 3401-position model. The record is from RNAcentral. Lineage: Eukaryota; Fungi; Basidiomycota; Tremellomycetes; Tremellales; Bulleribasidiaceae.